This 381-nucleotide ribosomal RNA is filed under the name uncultured bacterium. RNAcentral describes it as "bacterial SSU rRNA". It matches the Rfam family "Bacterial small subunit ribosomal RNA", at positions 28 to 412 of the family's 1533-position model. The record is from RNAcentral.
GACGAACGCUGGCGGCGUGCUUAACACAUGCAAGUCGAGCGGUAAGGCCCUUUCGGGGGUACACGAGCGGCGAACGGGUGAGUAACACGUGGGUGACCUGCCUUCAGCUUCGGGAUAAGCCUGGGAAACUGGGUCUAAUACCGGAUAGUCACUGGUGCCUGCAUGGGUGUUGGUGGAAAGUUUUUUCGGCUGGAGAUGGGCCCGCGGCCUAUCAGCUUGUUGGUGGGGUGAUGGCCUACCAAGGCGACGACGGGUAGCCGGCCUGAGAGGGCACCGGCCACACUGGGACUGAGAUACGGCCCAGACUCCUACGGGAGGCAGCAGUGGGGAAUAUUGCGCAAUGGGCGAAAGCCUGACGCAGCGACGCCGCGUGGGGAUGAC